UAUGUGUCGUCUCUCGCAUAUCAAUAAGCGGAGGAAAAGAAACUAACAAGGAUUCCCCUAGUAACGGCGAGUGAAGCGGGAAGAGCUCAAAUUUGAAAUCUUAAAGGGUUUCCCUUUACGAAUUGUAGUUUAAAGAAGUGUUUUCUGUUGAGGUUUUGGUAAAAGUUCUUUGGAAUAGGACAUCAUAGAGGGUGAGAAUCCCGUAUUUGACCUUUACUUUCAACUUUGUGAUACACUUUCAAAGAGUCGGAUUGUUUGGGAAUGCAGUCCAAAAUGGGUGGUAAAUUUCAUCUAAAGCUAAAUAUUGGCGAGAGACCGAUAGCGAACAAGUACCGUGAGGGAAAGAUGAAAAGAACUUUGAAAAGAGAGUUAAACAGUACGUGAAAUUGUCAAAAGGGAAGCGUUUGACACCAGUGUUGUUUUUCUGAAAAUCAAUUAAAGAACUGUUUAUGCUAAGUUGUUUAGACUUUAUCAGCUAACUGUUUAGUUUUGAGCUUUUCUUUAAUGCACUUUUCAGUUAACAAGUCAACAUCAAUUUCUUUUGCUGUAAAAAAGCUUGAGGAAGGUGGCUUGAGAUUCGUCUUAAGUGUUUAUAGCCUCUUGCCUAUGCAGUCGGAGAGAUUGAGGUCUGCAGCGUAGAUCCUUCGGGGCUAAAUGCAUUUGUGCUAAGUUAUAGCAUUUUAUAGACAACUUGUUGACUAUGAUUUGUCUUGUAGCUUACUCGCUUAUGUUAUUUUACCUACGCUUAGGAUGUUGAUAUGCAUGACUGAUAU
Molecule: ribosomal RNA, 773 nt
Filed under: uncultured Neocallimastigales
Lineage: Eukaryota; Fungi; Neocallimastigomycota; Neocallimastigomycetes; Neocallimastigales
Description: partial large subunit ribosomal RNA
Rfam family: Eukaryotic large subunit ribosomal RNA
Source: RNAcentral